RNAcentral lists this transfer RNA (72 nucleotides) under Cordylochernes scorpioides. Its description in RNAcentral is "tRNA-Gly". The record is from RNAcentral. Lineage: Eukaryota; Metazoa; Arthropoda; Arachnida; Pseudoscorpiones; Chernetidae.
UGCAUCACCCAGGGAAUCGAACCCGGGCCGCCCGCGUGGCAGGCGAGCAUUCUACCACUGAACCACCGAUGC